Molecule: ribosomal RNA, 253 nt
Filed under: uncultured prokaryote
Description: partial 16S ribosomal RNA
Rfam family: Bacterial small subunit ribosomal RNA
Source: RNAcentral
UACAGAGGGUGCAAGCGUUAAUCGGAAUUACUGGGCGUAAAGCGUGCGCAGACGGUUGCGUAAGUCAGAUGUGAAAGCCCCGGGCUUAACCUGGGAAUGGCGAUGGAAACUGGCGAGCUGGAGUGCGGCAGAGGGGGGUGGAAUUCCGCGUGUAGCAGUGAAAUGCGUAGAGAUGCGGAGGAACACCGAUGGCGAAGGCAGCCCCCUGGGUCGACACUGACGCUCAGGCACGAAAGCGUGGGGAGCAAACAGG